AUCCAGCUGACGAGUCCCAAAUCGGACAAAACGCAGUCCUGGAU
Molecule: non-coding RNA, 44 nt
Organism: Schistosoma mattheei
Lineage: Eukaryota; Metazoa; Platyhelminthes; Trematoda; Strigeidida; Schistosomatidae
Source: Rfam